GUGGGAGGGGGCUUGCCCCCGAUGGCGGUGGGUCAGCCAGUAUCCAUUUAUCUGAACCACUGCUAUCGGGGGCAAGCCCCCUCCCAC
Molecule: unclassified non-coding RNA, 87 nt
Filed under: Pseudomonas libanensis
Lineage: Bacteria; Pseudomonadati; Pseudomonadota; Gammaproteobacteria; Pseudomonadales; Pseudomonadaceae
Source: RNAcentral